AGUUUUAAUAGUUUAAUUAAAAAUCUUGGUCUUGUAAACCAAAGAUGAUCACCAUCUUAAAAC
RNAcentral lists this transfer RNA (63 nucleotides) under Cherax destructor. RNAcentral describes it as "tRNA-Thr". It matches the Rfam family "tRNA". From Rfam's summary of the family: Transfer RNA (tRNA) molecules are approximately 80 nucleotides in length. Their secondary structure includes four short double-helical elements and three loops (D, anti-codon, and T loops). Lineage: Eukaryota; Metazoa; Arthropoda; Malacostraca; Decapoda; Parastacidae. The record is from RNAcentral.